UGGGACCUACGGGACGCAGCAGUGAGGAAUAUUGGUCAAUGGGCGGAAGCCUGAACCAGUCAAGUCGCGUGAGGGAAUAAGGCCCUACGGGUCGUAAACCUCUUUUGCCGGGGAGCAAGGGCCGGGACGAGUCCCGGUCCGGAGAGUACCCGGAGAAAAAGCAUCGGCUAACUCCGUGCCAGCAGCCGCGGUAAUACGGAGGAUGCGAGCGUUAUCCGGAUUUAUUGGGUUUAAAGGGUGCGUAGGCGGGCUUUUAAGUCAGCGGUAAAAAUUCGGGGCUCAACCCCGUCCGGCCGUUGAAACUG
RNAcentral lists this ribosomal RNA (305 nucleotides) under uncultured bacterium. RNAcentral describes it as "bacterial SSU rRNA". It matches the Rfam family "Bacterial small subunit ribosomal RNA", at positions 333 to 635 of the family's 1533-position model. The record is from RNAcentral.